GCAGUGGUGGGUUAGUGGCACAGAAUUCUUGCCUUCCCUGCAGGAGACCUGAGUUCAAUUCCCAGCCAGUGCA
Molecule: transfer RNA, 73 nt
Filed under: Loxodonta africana (African savanna elephant)
Lineage: Eukaryota; Metazoa; Chordata; Mammalia; Proboscidea; Elephantidae
Rfam family: tRNA
About the family: Transfer RNA (tRNA) molecules are approximately 80 nucleotides in length.
Source: Rfam by way of RNAcentral